AGAUUAAGUUAUUAAGGGCGCACGGUGGAUGCCUUGGCACUAGAAGCCGAUGAAGGACGUUACUAACGACGAUAUGCUUUGGGGAGCUGUAAGUAAGCUUUGAUCCAGAGAUUUCCGAAUGGGGAAACCCAGCAUGAGUUAUGUCAUG
RNAcentral lists this ribosomal RNA (148 nucleotides) under Staphylococcus aureus. RNAcentral's name for it is "partial 23S ribosomal RNA". It matches the Rfam family "Bacterial large subunit ribosomal RNA", at positions 1 to 147 of the family's 2925-position model. The record is from RNAcentral. Lineage: Bacteria; Bacillati; Bacillota; Bacilli; Caryophanales; Staphylococcaceae.